Molecule: long non-coding RNA, 1820 nt
Filed under: Schizosaccharomyces pombe (fission yeast)
Lineage: Eukaryota; Fungi; Ascomycota; Schizosaccharomycetes; Schizosaccharomycetales; Schizosaccharomycetaceae
Source: RNAcentral
AGAAUAGCUUGUACAGAAGGCAUAACCUCAAGCGCCUUAGUGGAUGUCGCAGUGAGAGAAAGAUGGAAAAUUCGAUCUUCUUUUGAAAUAACGGAACACAAUAAACUUUGGCCUUCAACAAAAGGGAAAUCAUUUAUGUGUUUUUUGGAUAAAAAACCAGUAUAAUUAUUAAUACCAAUAUCAAAAACAAUACCAUGAUCUUCAAUACUUGAAACCACGGCCUGUAUCAUCGACCCAGCAACAAAAUCCGCAGCCUCAGGAGCAGAACCGUUCGCAUCUUGCGGCUUAAGACUUAGCUCGAUGUGUCUUUUUCCGGUUUUUGUAGUAUUUUCCGAGCCAAGGGCUGUAACAGAAACACGCACCCAUUGACCAACUUUGUACAAAUCCAUCAAAUCCGGUAUUUGAUUAAGACCGUCUUCCUCUUCAGUUGCUGCAUUAUCUUCUGCAUGAUUGUCAAUACUAUCCAGACGAUCAGAAAGCUUAUCGGAGAUAUUUGUGAUAGGUACAUAACCUGUCAAACAGUUUGGUAAUGAGACGGCCAAGUCCAACGUAUUUAUUUGAGCAAUUUGACCUAAAAUUAAAGAGCCGGGUGUGAUAUUUUUAUAUCUUAAGCUUUGAAUAUGAACCUUCAAAUUUUCUUCGUUGUCCAAUUCGGAUUUGGAAGAUUUUUUACUACCCUUUUUCUUAGGACGAGUUUUUUUACUCAAUUCAGCGGUACCAGAAGCGGACUCCAUAAAGUCCUUCUUAGCCUCUAAAACAGCUUCUUUAUACUCUAAAGGAGUCAAUGAAGACGCCCCACCUCGAGGGAAAUCUUGAGUUGCCUCGUUAGCACUCAAAGAAGAAAUUCUCUCAUUCCCUUGGGAAUCCGAGCCUUCGGAGGCAUUGCUCCUCUUUCUUUUAUUUCCAGCCAUUUACUUCUAUGAACUUCUGAAAAGAAAGAACGACUGGAAGAAAGAAGCUUUUUAUACAAAGUAGUUGGUAGCGAGUAAAUUUAUGCUGCUGCUACAAAAGAAAUAGUCUAGGAAGGGUAACGCAUCAUGAGAAUUUCUUUUAACGAUGAAUAUUGUACUACGCAAUAAUAUGAGAGUUGAGGAACUUAAAAAAGGUGCACAAACAAUAUAUGCGAUUGUACAUGGCAAAAAACAGAAAAACUUACAAAUUGAUCAUUUAAUUUAAUUUUUUUUCUUCUUAAUUUUUUUUAUCUUAGUUAUUCGCACUGCAUACACUAUUAAUUUCAUAAUGAAUAAUGCAAAUGCCAGAAUGCUUGUUGGUACAAGCAAAUGAAACGAUAAAUCUAAAUUUACGAAGCUUGGGGAUGUUUAUUUUUUUUCUUUGAUUAAUUUUUGUAGCAAUGAAACAAAAUUAGGAACAGCGCGGUUGUAAGUUUAUUACGCCGGACAUUUCCAUGAUACAUAGGAUGAAAAAAUUGGCUAUUACAAUAGAAAUACAAUAUUUAUCACAGGUACAAAAAGAAUUUUGCGUAAACCCUUGUUUUUAGCGCUUACCAGUUGAAAUGGCAUCGAUAGUGAAUGUCAAAAACCUUCUCCUCAAUCUAAAUGUUGACCGUCGAAAAGGUUAUUUCCGAAUUUCCUUUGAAAUAUUAAUUUUUACCUCCAUUAUUUCUUUUCGUUACUUAUAGCAUUCAAGGGUUCAAAAUUGUCUUGUAAGUUUUUAUACCCUCUUCUAUUUAUUAUUGUUCGCAGCAAUUUUUUUAAGCUCUCGUUAGUUAGAUUAGUGUUUCGUUUACAAUUUUAACCCUACCCUACCCGAAUGAAUGUUUUGUUUACACUUUGGCAGGUUACAAUAGCAGUGGACAUGAA